AGGGUUUGAUCAUGGCUCAGAACGAACGCUGGCGGCAGGCCUAACACAUGCAAGUCGAGCGCGCCUUCGGGUGAGCGGCGGACGGGUUAGUAACGCGUGGGAACGUACCCAGAUCUACGGAAUAGCCUUUGGAAACGAAGAGUAAUACCGUAUACGCCCUUCGGGGGAAAGAUUUAUCGGAUUUGGAUCGGCCCGCGUUAGAUUAGAUAGUUGGUGGGGUAACGGCCUACCAAGUCUACGAUCUAUAGCUGGUUUUAGAGGAUGAUCAGCAACACUGGGACUGAGACACGGCCCAGACUCCUACGGGAGGCAGCAGUGGGGAAUCUUGGACAAUGGGCGCAAGCCUGAUCCAG
This 353-nucleotide ribosomal RNA is filed under the name uncultured bacterium. RNAcentral's name for it is "bacterial SSU rRNA". It matches the Rfam family "Bacterial small subunit ribosomal RNA", at positions 8 to 391 of the family's 1533-position model. The record is from RNAcentral.